This 253-nucleotide ribosomal RNA is filed under the name uncultured microorganism. Its description in RNAcentral is "partial 16S ribosomal RNA". It matches the Rfam family "Bacterial small subunit ribosomal RNA", at positions 524 to 776 of the family's 1533-position model. The record is from RNAcentral.
UACGGAGGGUGCGAGCGUUAUUCGGAAUCACUGGGCGUAAAGCGCGCGUAGGUGGUUUGAUAAGUUGGAUGUGAAAGCCCCGGGCUCAACCUGGGAAUUGCAUCCAAAACUGUCUGGCUAGAGUAUGGCAGAGGGUGGUGGAAUUUCCUGUGUAGCGGUGAAAUGCGUAGAUAUAGGAAGGAACACCAGUGGCGAAGGCGACCACCUGGGCUAAUACUGACACUGAGGUGCGAAAGCGUGGGGAGCAAACAGG